AGAGUUUGAUCCUGGCUCAGGACGAACGCUGGCGGCAUGCCUAAUACAUGCAAGUCGAGCGGAACGAAUGGGAGCUUGCUCCUGCUCGUUUAGCGGCGGACGGGUGAGUAACACGUGGGCAACCUGCCCUGCAGAUCGGGAUAACUCCGGGAAACCGGUGCUAAUACCGAAUAGUUUUUUGCCCCUCCUGGGGCGAAACGGAAAGACGGUUUCGGCUGUCACUGCAGGAUGGGCCCGCGGCGCAUUAGCUAGUUGGUGGGGUAACGGCCCACCAAGGCGACGAUGCGUAGCCGACCUGAGAGGGUGAUCGGCCACACUGGGACUGAGACACGGCCCAGACUCCUACGGGAGGCAGCAGUAGGGAAUCUUCCGCAAUGGACGAAAGUCUGACGGAGCAAUGCCGCGUGAGUGACGAAGGUUUUCGGAUCGUAAAACUCUGUUGUAAGGGAAGAACAAGUGCCAAGUAACUACUGGCACCUUGACGGUACCUUACCAGAAAGCCACGGCUAACUACGUGCCAGCAGCCGCGGUAAUACGUAGGUGGCAAGCGUUGUCCGGAAUUAUUGGGCGUAAAGCGCGCGCAGGCGGUCCCUUAAGUCUGAUGUGAAAGCCCACGGCUCAACCCGUGGAGGGUCAUUGGAAACUGGGGGGACUUGAGUGCAGAAGAGGAAAGUGGAAUUCCAUGUGUAGCGGUGAAAUGCGUAGAGAUGUGGAGGAACACCAGUGGCGAAGGCGACUUUCUGGUCUGUAACUGACGCUGAGGCGCGAAAGCGUGGGGAGCAAACAGGAUUAGAUACCCU
This 800-nucleotide ribosomal RNA is filed under the name uncultured bacterium. RNAcentral's name for it is "bacterial SSU rRNA". It matches the Rfam family "Bacterial small subunit ribosomal RNA", at positions 8 to 788 of the family's 1533-position model. The record is from RNAcentral.